Molecule: non-coding RNA, 72 nt
Organism: Pangasius djambal
Lineage: Eukaryota; Metazoa; Chordata; Actinopteri; Siluriformes; Pangasiidae
Source: the annotation of a GenBank genome assembly
UCCCUGGAGGACUAGUGGUUAGGCCACAGCGCUCUCACUACUGCGGCCAGGGUUCGCUUCCUGGGCAGGGAA